RNAcentral lists this ribosomal RNA (497 nucleotides) under uncultured bacterium. RNAcentral's name for it is "partial 16S ribosomal RNA". It matches the Rfam family "Bacterial small subunit ribosomal RNA", at positions 28 to 507 of the family's 1533-position model. The record is from RNAcentral.
GAUGAACGCUGGCGGCGUGCCUAAUACAUGCAAGUCGGGCGAACAGAUGAGGAGCUUGCUCCUCUGACGUUAGCGGCGGACGGGUGAGUAACACGUGGAUAACCUACCUAUAAGACUGGGAUAACUUCGGGAAACCGGAGCUAAUACCGGAUAAUAUAUUGAACCGCAUGGUUCAAUAGUGAAAGACGGUUUUGCUGUCACUUAUAGAUGGAUCCGCGCCGCAUUAGCUAGUUGGUAAGGUAACGGCUUACCAAGGCAACGAUGCGUACCCGACCUGAGAGGGUGAUCGGCCACACUGGAACUGAGACACGGUCCAGACUCCUACGGGAGGCAGCAGUAGGGAAUCUUCCGCAAUGGGCGAAAGCCUGACGGAGCAACGCCGCGUGAGUGAUGAAGGUCUUCGGAUCGUAAAACUCUGUUAUUAGGGAAGAACAAAUGUGUAAGUAACUAUGCACGUCUUGACGGUACCUAAUCAGAAAGCCACGGCUAACUACGUG